This 318-nucleotide ribosomal RNA is filed under the name Triticum aestivum (bread wheat). RNAcentral describes it as "partial small subunit ribosomal RNA". The record is from RNAcentral. Lineage: Eukaryota; Viridiplantae; Streptophyta; Magnoliopsida; Poales; Poaceae.
AUGACGACGAAGGCAGGAUCAGAAGGGGCACGUUGCAGCCCCAAAGAAUUGGAAACCCUAGCAGCCGAGUUUCUCCUUAACGUGUGUGGUAAGGAACGUGAAGCCUGCUUAAGAUUUGAAGAGGAGCACGUGAGCGAAGAGGUCAACUUUUUGAUAUUUUAUUAUCCAAUGGCUUUAGAUGAAAAAUUGAGCUAUGUUAACAAUGGAGUAUACUUGGUAAUUGUUUUUAAAAAGAUAGAACAAUUUCUAGUUAUUACAUAUGUAGAGAAUAGAUCUUCAUCCAUCAAAAUCAUACCUAAGCUUGUGUUGAUAAAUUAA